CGCACAUUGCGCCCCUUGGUAUUCCAUGGGGCAUGCCUGUUCGAGCGUCAUUUGUACUCUCAAGCUAAGCUUGGUGUUGGGUGUUUGUCCACUCCCUCGUGUUUGGACUCGCCUUAAAAUCAUUGGCAGCCAGUGUUUUGGUAUUGAAGCGCAGCACAAUUUGCGAUUCUAGCCCGGAAUACUAGCAACCAUCAAGUUAUUUUUAACGCUUGACCUCGGAUCAGGUAGGGAUACCCGCUGAACUUAA
This 247-nucleotide unclassified non-coding RNA is filed under the name Wojnowiciella eucalypti. RNAcentral's name for it is "partial contains 5.8S ribosomal RNA, internal transcribed spacer 2, and large subunit ribosomal RNA". The record is from RNAcentral. Lineage: Eukaryota; Fungi; Ascomycota; Dothideomycetes; Pleosporales; Phaeosphaeriaceae.